Molecule: ribosomal RNA, 327 nt
Filed under: Achromobacter sp. VA51
Lineage: Bacteria; Pseudomonadati; Pseudomonadota; Betaproteobacteria; Burkholderiales; Alcaligenaceae
Description: bacterial SSU rRNA
Rfam family: Bacterial small subunit ribosomal RNA
Source: RNAcentral
AACACAGGUGCUGCAUGGCUGUCGUCAGCUCGUGUCGUGAGAUGUUGGGUUAAGUCCCGCAACGAGCGCAACCCUUGUCAUUAGUUGCUACGAAAGGGCACUCUAAUGAGACUGCCGGUGACAAACCGGAGGAAGGUGGGGAUGACGUCAAGUCCUCAUGGCCCUUAUGGGUAGGGCUUCACACGUCAUACAAUGGUCGGGACAGAGGGUCGCCAACCCGCGAGGGGGAGCCAAUCCCAGAAACCCGAUCGUAGUCCGGAUCGCAGUCUGCAACUCGACUGCGUGAAGUCGGAAUCGCUAGUAAUCGCGGAUCAGCAUGUCGCGGUG